GUGUUUUUAGUUUAAUAAGGAUAAAACAUCAAUCUUCUAAAUUGAAUAUAAAGGUUCAAGUCCUUUAAAACAUC
Molecule: transfer RNA, 74 nt
Filed under: Xiphosiphonia pinnulata
Lineage: Eukaryota; Rhodophyta; Florideophyceae; Ceramiales; Rhodomelaceae
Description: tRNA-Arg
Rfam family: tRNA
About the family: Transfer RNA (tRNA) molecules are approximately 80 nucleotides in length. Their secondary structure includes four short double-helical elements and three loops (D, anti-codon, and T loops).
Source: RNAcentral